This is a long non-coding RNA of Astatotilapia calliptera (eastern happy), 1720 nucleotides long. Lineage: Eukaryota; Metazoa; Chordata; Actinopteri; Cichliformes; Cichlidae. The record is from Ensembl.
GAUAACUUGAAUUUCUUCUUAGCUCUGCAUGGCAAAAGGCCUAAAGAGAUUUGUGUCUCCUCCCAGGAACAAACUGGGGACCUUUUGUUUGUUAGGCAAAUGUAUAAACCACUAGACCAUGAGACAAAACAAACCCCAGCUGGAAAUCUAGAGGCAGGAAACACAGCAAAGGCUUGUGGCUCCUUUUGGAAAGAACAAGUUGCUUUUUAACCAGUGCUCACGUGUGAUUUAUAAGGAAAUGGAACGUGAGCUCUGUCUUUCUUGUAAACAUUAAUGUAGGCCAGGUAAAUAAAUCAUAAAUAAAAGGGUGCUCAGAUUUUAGUGUGUUGUGGUUUUGUUACUGAUUAAUUUAAAUUGCAGACUGUUGCAUUCCCCAGUAAAACUUCUGACUUCCUGCAUCCUCUGCAGCCAGUUAUCUCUUUCCUGUCCAGAGAGUACAGAAGAGGAUUGUGCUCACAGUGUGCCACUCUUCCUGCUGCGCCAUUGUUCUAAAGCACGCACACUUAAAUUAUGUCCUAACUUCGAUUUUCUGUUAUUUUCACCUGCGUUUUGAAGAAUCUCUGAGAACUGAUGCAGCGUCUGAAUACUGCGAAAAAUGUCGGCAAGGCGCUGCGUUCCACAUGGAAGUGUUUGAUGCUUGGUCUCUACAGCUUUGCUCUCGGAUACUCCACUCCCAUCACGGUGGCUGCUACUUUUGUCCCUGACUUUCACCCGAGCAGGAACAGGACCUGAUUCGAGCUCUGUCGAUCUCCUCCACUUUGUUUUCAUACUAUAUAUACCAGUAACUCGCAGACUCUUACCAAAGACUUUAAAAAUGUGAAUAAUGAUUGUGCAAUUCAGAUUACAUUUUCAAAUUCCCUGCUUUUGCAGAUCUUACAAGAUCUACUGCAUGGUCAUAUUUGCAGAAAUAUGCAAGAUCAUAAAAUCUUAUUAAGUAUUAGGUUAAAUACUGAAAACACUUGUUUUUAAAUCAAGUGUCUGCAUGUGUUCAAAGGGAUUAUGUGGGCAUGUGGAAACUAUAGCAGGGCAGCAAUAACAGGAAUAUUCACCGUAGCUGCAGGUGAGGUGAGUCAAGCCAGAGACCUCUUUAAGGGAUUUGCAAGCAGGAAAGACUCAACAAGGAGGUGAUUAUCAGUAAUACUGGAAGAGCAAGUAAACAGAAAGGAACCGGCCCAGUCCUUUUCUGGGUGGCACAACUUAGGUGCUUUUUGGUGUACAAAUUCUGCUGUGAAACUAAACUUAACAAACACAAAAUGAAAUAAGACUGAAACCAAAAAUGAAAACUAACAAAAUAAAUAUUUUUUUUACUUUCAAAACUAGUAGUAAUAGUUUUAAUAGUUAAAAUCUUUUUUGCAAAUUUGAGAACACAAGUAUGAGGAGGUUUUUCAUUUUGGGUGUUUUGGUGGGUGGUGGGCGGCUACAUGACUUUUACGGUCAAAAGCCUUUACAAAAACAGAAAGCUAACUAAAUAAGAUACAAUUUUAAAAAAACAACAACAAAUUAAAUAAACUAAUAUAAAUUAAAAAACAAAAAUAGAACUUUGCUGUAAAUACUAUAAUGUGACGCCCAAGAUUUGAAGAAUUCUCUGCUUGGAACAAAAUAUUCUGACUUUUAAGAUAUUUUUAAAGAUGUGUGUAGAUUUGAUCAUUUGUAAAUUAUUAAUUAUUCAUGAUGUUUGUACUUUUGAUUAAAAUAAAGCAUUACUAGGAAUGCAUCUGAA